GGCGAGUUGGCUGGAUGGCGUCUUCCUUUCCCCUCCGCUGAUUGAUCUCGUUUCCAUGGUACAAUUAUUAUUUUAUUAUGUUUUCAAUAACAAAUGGAAAAUGUGUGCUCUAGCGAGUAGAGAGUUCUAGAAUGUCGUGAUUGUUCAUUGAAACGAAAUUCAUAUUCAAAAAGGACCUACAUGGAUUGUUUCUGUUGCUGCUAAUCUGAUGUGAAAUGGAAAAUGCCAGCAUGUUUGAGACAUCAAUUGGCCACUGUUCUUUACUCGGUUUUAUUUCGAAUUGAGAACAAAACUGUUUCUUGUAACGGUGACCAAUGUCGGAUUUGGGCUUCGGGGGGCCCGGGUCAGAUCUAUUGACGGGGGCCCUUAGCACAAAAUGAGCGGGGAACGCUAAGCAUAGAAAAGUUAAGUAUUGUGAAAAUAAAAUAUCCGGGAAACUCCAAACGAUUGUAAUAUGCAU
Aedes aegypti (yellow fever mosquito) is the source of this 460-nucleotide long non-coding RNA. RefSeq lists it as uncharacterized. The record is from RefSeq and is a predicted model, not a curated record. NCBI's taxonomy places the organism in Eukaryota, Metazoa, Arthropoda, Insecta, Diptera, Culicidae. The transcript has 3 exons.